GUCGGAUUAGCUAGUUGGUGGGGUAAAGGCCUACCAAGGCGACGAUCCGUAGCUGGUUUGAGAGGACGACCAGCCACACUGGGACUGAGACACGGCCCAGACUCCUACGGGAGGCAGCAGUGGGGAAUCUUGGACAAUGGGGGGAACCCUGAUCCAGCCAUUCCGCGUGUGCGAUGAAGGCCUUCGGGUUGUAAAGCACUUUUGGCAGGGAAGAAAUUGCGCGGGCUAAUACCCUGCGUGGAUGACGGUACCUGCAGAAUAAGCACCGGCUAACUACGUGCCAGCAGCCGCGGUAAUACGUAGGGUGCAAGCGUUAAUCGGAAUUACUGGGCGUAAAGGGUGCGCAGGUGGCUCGGAAAGAAAGAUGUGAAAUCCCAGGGCUCAACCUUGGAACUGCAU
Molecule: ribosomal RNA, 399 nt
Filed under: uncultured bacterium
Lineage: Bacteria
Description: bacterial SSU rRNA
Rfam family: Bacterial small subunit ribosomal RNA
Source: RNAcentral